This 49-nucleotide transfer RNA is filed under the name Ifloga glomerata. RNAcentral's name for it is "partial tRNA-Leu". The record is from RNAcentral. Lineage: Eukaryota; Viridiplantae; Streptophyta; Magnoliopsida; Asterales; Asteraceae.
AAAAUCCGUCGAUUUCARAAAUCAUGAGGGUUCANGUCCCUCUAUCCCC